This 85-nucleotide transfer RNA is filed under the name Pelobates cultripes (western spadefoot toad). RNAcentral's name for it is "tRNA.Arg". It matches the Rfam family "tRNA". Rfam says of the family: Transfer RNA (tRNA) molecules are approximately 80 nucleotides in length. The record is from RNAcentral. Lineage: Eukaryota; Metazoa; Chordata; Amphibia; Anura; Pelobatidae.
GGCUCUGUGGCGCAAUGGAUAGCGCAUUGGACUUCUAGCUGGUGAAGCAAUUCAAAGGUUGUGGGUUCGAGUCCCACCAGAGUCG